UACGUAGGGGGCAAGCGUUGUCCGGAUUAUUGGGCGUAAAGAGCGUGUAGGCGGCUUUACAGGUCCGUUGUGAAAACUCGAGGCUCAACCUCGAGACGCCGGUGGAAACCGUAAAGCUAGAGUCCGGAAGAGGAGAGUGGAAUUCCUGGUGUAGCGGUGAAAUGUGCAGAUAUCAGGAAGAACACCCGUGGCGAAGGCGGCUCUCUGGGACGGUACUGACGCUGAGACGCG
RNAcentral lists this ribosomal RNA (231 nucleotides) under uncultured bacterium. RNAcentral describes it as "partial 16S ribosomal RNA". It matches the Rfam family "Bacterial small subunit ribosomal RNA", at positions 524 to 755 of the family's 1533-position model. The record is from RNAcentral.